Molecule: ribosomal RNA, 1007 nt
Filed under: uncultured euryarchaeote
Lineage: Archaea; Methanobacteriati; Methanobacteriota
Description: bacterial SSU rRNA
Rfam family: Archaeal small subunit ribosomal RNA
Source: RNAcentral
GGCGCGAAACCUUUACACUGUACGAGAGUGCGAUAAGGGGAUCCCAAGUGCCCGCGCCUAGCGUGGGCUUUUCCGAACCGUAAAAUGGUUCAGGAAUAAGGGCUGGGAAAGACCGGUGCCAGCCGCCGCGGUAACACCGGCAGCUCAAGUGAUGGCCGAUUUUAUUGGGCCUAAAGCGUCCGUAGCCUGCCGUACGGUUCCGUCGGGAAAUCCGCCCGCUCAACGGGCGACGUCCGGCGGAAACCAUAUGGCUUGGGACCAGAGGACCCGAGGGGUACGUCGGGGGUAGGAGUGAAAUCCCGAGAUCCUCGACGGACCGCCGGUGGCGAAAGCGCCUCGGGAAGAUGGAUCCGACGGUCAGGGACGAAAGCUUGGGUCUCGAACCGGAUUAGAUACCCGGGUAGUCCAAGCUGUAAACGAUGCUCGCUAGGUGUGGCGUAGGCUACGAGCCUGCGCUGUGCCAAAGGAAGCCACGAAGCGAGCCGCCUGGGAAGUACGUCUGCAAGGAUGAAACUUAAAGGAAUUGGCGGGGAGCACUACAACGGGAGGAGCUGCGGUUUAAUUGGACUCAACGCCGGACAUCUCACUGGUUCCGACUCUGGGAGUGAAGGUCAGCUUGACGAGCUUACUAGACCCAGAGAGAGGUGGUGCAUGGCCGCCGUCAGCUCGUACCGUGAGGCGUCCUGUUAAGUUAGGCAACGAGCGAGACCCGUGUCCGUAGUUGCCAGCAGCACGUUCAGUGGCUGGGUACACUACGGAGACUGCCUCCGCUAAGGAGGAGGAAGGAGCGGGCAACGGUAGGUCAGUAUGCCCCGAAUGAACCGGGCAACACGCGGGCUACAAUGGCACGGACAGCGGGAUGCAGCCCCGAGAGGGGUAGCUAAUCCCACAAACCGUGUCUCAGUUCGGAUUGAGGACUGAAACCCGUCCUCAUGAAGUUGGAUUCCGUAGUAAUCGCGUUUCAUCAAAACGCGGUGAAUACGUCCCUGCUCCUUCCACUCACCCCC